RNAcentral lists this ribosomal RNA (301 nucleotides) under uncultured bacterium. Its description in RNAcentral is "partial 16S ribosomal RNA". It matches the Rfam family "Bacterial small subunit ribosomal RNA", at positions 509 to 807 of the family's 1533-position model. The record is from RNAcentral.
CAGUCGCCGCGGUAAUACGAAGGGGGCUAGCGUUGUUCGGAAUUACUGGGCGUAAAGCGCACGUAGGCGGAUAUUUAAGUCAGGGGUGAAAUCCCAGAGCUCAACUCUGGAACUGCCUUUGAUACUGGGUAUCUUGAGUAUGGAAGAGGUAAGUGGAAUUCCAAGUGUAGAGGUGAAAUUCGUAGAUAUUCGGAGGAACACCAGUGGCGAAGGCGGCUUACUGGUCCAUUACUGACGCUGAGGUGCGAAAGCGUGGGGAGCAAACAGGAUUAGAGACCCCUGUAGUCCCUGUCUCUUAUAC